AGAGUUUGAUCAUGGCUCAGAACGAACGCUGGCGGCGUGCUUAACACAUGCAAGUCGAACGAGAAAGUUUCCUUCGGGAAAUGAGUAGAGUGGCGCACGGGUGAGUAACGCGUAGGUAAUCUACCCUUAUGAUCGGGAUAACAUUGGGGAACUGGUGCUAAUACCGGAUACCCUUCCUGGCUGUGGGGUCAGGGAGGAAAGGUGGCCUCUUCAUGAAAGCUACCGCAUAGGGAUGAGCCUGCGUACCAUUAGCUAGUAGGCGGGGUAACGGCCCACCUAGGCGACGAUGGUUAGCGGGUCUGAGAGGAUGAUCCGCCACACUGGAACUGGAACACGGACCAGACUCCUACGGGAGGCAGCAGUGAGGAAUAUUGCGCAAUGGGGGAAACCCUGACGCAGCGACGCCGCGUGAGUGAGGAAGGUUUUCGGAUCGUAAAGCUCUGUCAGAAGGGAAGAAAUGCUGCAUGGUUAAUACCCCUGCAGUUUGACGGUACCUUCAGAGGAAGCACCGGCUAACUCCGUGCCAGCAGCCGCGGUAAUACGGAGGGUGCAAGCGUUGUUCGGAAUUACUGGGCGUAAAGGGCGCGCAGGCGGCCUGAUAAGUCAGAUGUGAAAGUCCACGGCUCAACCGUGGAAGUGCAUUUGAAACUGUCUUGCUUGAGUAUCGGAGGGGAGUGUGGAAUUCCCGGUGUAGAGGUGAAAUUCGUAGAGAUCGGGAGGAACACCGGUGGCGAAGGCGACACUCUGGACGAAUACUGACGCUGAGGCGCGAAAGCGUGGGGAGCAAACAGGAUUAGAUACCCUGGUAGUCCACGCCGUAAACGAUGUGAACUAGGGAUAGGGGGUGUUGAUCCCUUCUGUCCCGCAGCUAACGCAUUAAGUUCACCGCCUGGGGAGUACGGUCGCAAGAUUAAACUCAA
RNAcentral lists this ribosomal RNA (920 nucleotides) under uncultured delta proteobacterium. Its description in RNAcentral is "bacterial SSU rRNA". It matches the Rfam family "Bacterial small subunit ribosomal RNA", at positions 8 to 904 of the family's 1533-position model. The record is from RNAcentral. Lineage: Bacteria; Deltaproteobacteria.